RNAcentral lists this ribosomal RNA (170 nucleotides) under uncultured soil bacterium. RNAcentral describes it as "partial 16S ribosomal RNA". It matches the Rfam family "Bacterial small subunit ribosomal RNA", at positions 26 to 206 of the family's 1533-position model. The record is from RNAcentral.
AGAUUGAACGCUGGCGGCAGGCCUAACACAUGCAAGUCGAGCGGCAGCACGGGUACUUGUACCUGGUGGCGAGCGGCGGACGGGUGAGUAAUGCCUAGGAAUCUGCCUGGUAGUGGGGGAUAACGCUCGGAAACGGACGCUAAUACCGCAUACGUCCGUACGGGAGAAAG